ACCGUGCAAAGGUAGCAUAAUCAUUUGCCUCUUAAUUGGAGGCUUGUAUGAAUGGAUAAACGAAGUUUUUACUGUCUCUUUUUUAUAAAUAUAAUCUAAACUUCAGGUGAAGAUGCCUGAUUCCUACAGAAAGACAAGAAGACCCUAUAGAGUUUUAACUUUAAAAGUUUCCAUUACUUUUAUAAGUUUUGGUUGGGGCGACCAAGGAUAUAACAAAUCAUCCUUUCUCUUAAUGAACUUAUUUCUUUUAAAGACCCUCUAGGAUCAAUAAAAUCAACUACCUUAGGGAUAACAGGCUUAUCUUCCUAAAGAGCUCUAAUCGAUAGGAAGGAUUGGCACCUCGAUGUUGGCUUAGAGUAACUCAUUACCGCAGCAGGUAAUAUAAGUUAGUUUGUUCAACUAUUAAAUCUAAUCGAUAGGAAGGAUUGGCACCU
This 434-nucleotide ribosomal RNA is filed under the name Capitulatinoe cf. cupisetis AN-2014. RNAcentral describes it as "partial 16S ribosomal RNA". It matches the Rfam family "Bacterial large subunit ribosomal RNA", at positions 1945 to 2619 of the family's 2925-position model. The record is from RNAcentral. Lineage: Eukaryota; Metazoa; Annelida; Polychaeta; Phyllodocida; Polynoidae.